UACGAAGGGGGCUAGCGUUGCUCGGAAUCACUGGGCGUAAAGGGUGCGUAGGCGGGUUAUUAAGUCAGAGGGGAAAUCCUGGAGCUCAACUCCAGAACUGCCUUUGAUACUGAUAGUCUUGAGUAUGGGAGAGGUGAGUGGAACUGCGAGUGUAGAGGUGAAAUUCGUAGAUAUUCGCAAGAACACCAGUGGCGAAGGCGGCUCACUGGCCCAUUACUGACGCUGAGGCACGAAAGCGUGGGGAGCAAACAGG
Molecule: ribosomal RNA, 253 nt
Filed under: uncultured bacterium
Lineage: Bacteria
Description: partial 16S ribosomal RNA
Rfam family: Bacterial small subunit ribosomal RNA
Source: RNAcentral